AUUGAACGCUGGCGGCAGGCUUAACACAUGCAAGUCGAGCGAGCGGCGGAGGGGUGUGUAAUGUCUGGGAAACUGCCUGAUGGAGGGGGAUAACCAGUGGAAACGGUAGCUAAUACCGUAUAACAUCAGAUGUGCCCAGAUGGGAAUAGCGAGGAGGGGGGGUAAGGGCUCACCUAGGCGACGAGCCCUAGCUGGUCUGAGAGGAUGACCAGCCACACUGGAACUGAGACACGGUCCAGACUCCUACGGGAGGCAGCAGUGGGGAAUAUUGCACAAUGGGCGCAAGCCUGAUGCAGCCAUGCCGCGUGUGUGAAGAAGGCCUUCGGGUUGUAAAGCACUUUCAGCGGGGAGGCGUUACUCGCAGAAGAAGCACCGGCUAACUCCGUGCCAGCAGCCGCGGUAAUAC
RNAcentral lists this ribosomal RNA (406 nucleotides) under uncultured bacterium. Its description in RNAcentral is "partial 16S ribosomal RNA". It matches the Rfam family "Bacterial small subunit ribosomal RNA", at positions 29 to 526 of the family's 1533-position model. The record is from RNAcentral.